Molecule: ribosomal RNA, 482 nt
Filed under: uncultured bacterium
Lineage: Bacteria
Description: partial 16S ribosomal RNA
Rfam family: Bacterial small subunit ribosomal RNA
Source: RNAcentral
AUUGAACGCUGGCGGCAUGCCUUACACAUGCAAGUCGAACGGUAACGGGCCUUCGGGUGCCGACGAGUGGCGACCGGGUGAGUAAUACAUCGGAACGUGCCCGAUCGUGGGGGAUAACGAGGCGAAAGCUUUGCUAAUACCGCAUACGAUCUACGGAUGAAAGCAUGGGACCGCAAGGCCUUGCGCGGACGGAGCGGCCGAUGGCAGAUUAGGUAGUUGGUGGGAUAAAAGCUUACCAAGCCGACGAUCUGUAGCUGGUCUGAGAGGAUGAUCAGCCACACUGGGACUGAGACACGGCCCAGACUCCUACGGGAGGCAGCAGUGGGGAAUUUUGGACAAUGGGCGCAAGCCUGAUCCAGCCAUGCCGCGUGCAGGAUGAAGGCCUUCGGGUUGUAAAAUGCUUUUGUACGGAACGAAAAGCCUUCUUUUAAUACAGGAGGGUCAUGACGGUACCGUAAGAAUAAGCCCCGGCUAACUACGUG